Molecule: long non-coding RNA, 2129 nt
Organism: Manis pentadactyla (Chinese pangolin)
Lineage: Eukaryota; Metazoa; Chordata; Mammalia; Pholidota; Manidae
Exons: 4
Source: RefSeq, a predicted model, not a curated record
UGUCUUUCCUCAUUUAGUCACUCUCCCAGCCCUUAAGAUAGGGACUGUUUUUAUCAACAAACUACAGAAAAGGAAACUGAGCCCCACAGAAGGUCAUACUUUGCUCAGGAUUAUACAUCUGCUAAGUGGCAGGGCUGGGGCUUGAACAAGCCCAACCGAAUCCAAAGCCAGAUUUGAAAUUGCAGAAGGCCAUCCGCAAACUAGACUCCACAGUGGGAGGCAAAUGGGGACAAAUCCCGAGAGCCUUUAUUCCCAGGAAUACCUUUCCCAACCCUACCUAUCAUGUGGCCUCCAGGAAGCCCACCUUCACCAGCCCUCUCCACCCUGAACCCAGAUAGUUGUCCCUGUGGAUGUUUUCAUAAGACACGGGAUCUGCCCGCGAGAGGGUGAACAGUUUGAAGGAGGCCUGCACCUGGGCAGUGGUUUACCUGACUGGUCCUAGGACUCUGGUCAGCAGGGCUGCACACGCACUGCAAAGUCAGGAUGACAGGCCUGUAGAGUUGGCGCACCCACCCUCGCCCUGUGGACAGGGAUGGAAGGCUCCUCAAGGGUGCUUCUUGAUCAGGAUCACACAGGUGGUAAGUGUUACAGUCUGAACACAAGUCAAGAUCUGUGUUCCUCCCAAAACUGCUGUUACAACACAAAUAUUCACUUACUUUCUAUCCCAUGGGUCACAAACUAAAUUGUAAAGGUAGGCUACUUCCUACCUCUGAUCCUUAAGCUUGCUCUGAAUGGAGUGAGAGCCACUUUCAGCUUCAGAAACUCAGGGUAGGUCCUUUGUUCUCUUCUGAUUAGGUAAAUGGGCACAAUGCACAAUGGUGCUCACUGCCAGCAUGCACUCCUCACCCUACACACUCACAUGUGCUCAUGCGUAUAUCCUCAUAGCAUGCCCUCAUGACCUUACAGUGUAUGCACACAUAUAUCUUCACCCAUCACCACAUACAUGCAUUUGCUCUCAUUCUUAGAUCAAGAUUCUUAUAUGCCUCCUUCAGGGUAGGGGCUGUUAAACUUUCUUUCAUAGUUAUUUCAUGGUUCAUAACCAUGACUGAGGGACUUAAUGAAAUAUAGGCUUAGCAGAUCUAAGGUGGGUUCCAGGAAUAUACAUUUUUAAACACAUGCAUUCAGAUGCUUCUGAUGAGUAAUCUGUGCACCAUUCCUUAGGAAACAGUGUCUUGGCUAUGAGACCAUUAAAGGUAAGAAAUGUCGCAUACAUUUUUAUCUGCCCAGCACAGCUCACCAGGCUAGUCCAAGGCAGAUAGUAUUUGAUGAGAGUGGAUUUGAAUGACUCAGUGUCUUACUGUUCAUUUUUUCAAGAUAGGUCAGAUUUUCAGAAGGUAAUGAAGUCCUUGACCCUCUGGGAUCCAGUUGUCUGGCCUACUCUUUGUGAAGGAGUUUGAAAAAUCCCCAAGGACCCUCUUUUCAUUUGCUCCCUUCUGUUGAGCAGUCUAUUCCUAAAGCGCAUGUAAGAUGUCUCUCCUGCAGCACCAAGGCUCUCUUUCUUUAGGAAGUGCAUCCCAGACUGAUGACACUAGGAGAUCAAAGACCCUGAGGGGACUGGCUCUGCCACACACCUGCCUGGCACAGACGGCCUCUCUCCUCUUUCCUCGCUCAUGAGUUUCCCCACCUCCGUGGCUCUUCAUCACUGACCAUGAUCCCUGCUUGGUUUUGCUUACCCAAUCCGCUCCAGCACACGCCAUCUUGUAAUAAGCAGCCCACUGUUUCAGACUACCUAAAACCCUUGCAUUCUUCCAGGAGUAGAAUUCUCAGUAGUCCUUUCCCCUAGGGUGUGCCGUCUGUAAGGUCCCACCAGUAUCUCAGCAAAUCUUGAGGUGCCACUAAUGACCUCUGGCCAGGCAGAUAAUCUGAGUACAAGCGAAACUAAAUGAAAUUCCAUCCUGCACUCGUGAAGGAUUUGUAAAGCCCUUUGCUGAACUCCUGUUCUCCAGUGUUUAUGGCCUUUUUCUGAUCUGCCAGUCUAGCAACUGCACCAAAAAAGGGAAUGUGGUUCUUGGGGCUUUGAAGGAUGGUGCCCUCUUGGUGACGUCAUGCUGCUUCCUGUGUCACUAAGUGCUCACCAGGCUUCAGUUCUUUGGCCCACUGUCAAAUCCUUCGGAUAAGCUAUGGCAGGC